CAUAUUCUUGGAGAGUCGACUUCGUGCUCAGUCAGUUCAAGCCUCCUUCGAGUCACCCUGCUUCGAGUUUUCUCCAUCUUUGAUCUGUAAGUCGCCCAGUUUCCAAUUGCAAUUGGUCAAGGCGACGAACUCGUCUUCAUCGCUCAAGAUGGCAGACAGAUCAACAUCAAAGUCAAAGGGGUUCUUACGACGUCCAGGAGUUAGGCUGGUGAUUUCGUACGAAGGAGGAGUCACCUUUUUAUUGCUCUC
RNAcentral lists this long non-coding RNA (249 nucleotides) under Hordeum vulgare. Its description in RNAcentral is "long non-coding RNA (HVUL_LNC000887)". Lineage: Eukaryota; Viridiplantae; Streptophyta; Magnoliopsida; Poales; Poaceae. The record is from RNAcentral.